GCCCAAGGAAGCCAAUCUUGAAGUCCUGAAAGGGAAUCAAUCAAUUUGGGUGAAAUCAGGAAGAGAGAUCGAAAAUGGGGAAACCAUUGGGAGCUACCGGAGAGUUUUUCAGGCGAAGGGACGAGUGGAGGAAACAUCCUAUGUUGACCAAUCAGUUCCGCCACGCUUUCCCUGGCCUUGGCAUCGCUGUUGUAGCAUUCACCAUCUACUGUGUAGGCGAAUAUGCUUACAACAACAUGUCUCAACCUUCUCACUCCACCACCUCUGCUUCUCAUUCUCACUGAACAUGGUGAAGUGAUAGUUGCAAGAAUGGGGAUGACAAUACAGUUCAGUUGUGUUUUUUGUGUUUUUUCUGAGUCAUCAAUAAGAUAUUUAACAAACAUGGACUUGUUGCCUCAAACUUUUGGAGACUUGUGUUGUAACAAGAUUAAUCAGCAUUUUGCUUUACAUGUGUUACCCUCGCUUUUGUGGUUUUCUUUCUA
Molecule: RNA transcript, 482 nt
Organism: Lycium barbarum (goji berry)
Lineage: Eukaryota; Viridiplantae; Streptophyta; Magnoliopsida; Solanales; Solanaceae
Gene name: NADH dehydrogenase [ubiquinone] 1 beta subcomplex subunit 3-B-like
Exons: 3
Source: RefSeq, a predicted model, not a curated record